GACGAUGAUCCCAGCUUGCUGGGGGAUUAGUGGCGAACGGGUGAGUAACACGUGAGUAACCUGCCCUUAACUCUGGGAUAAGCCUGGGAAACUGGGUCUAAUACCGGAUAUGACUCCUCAUCGCAUGGUGGGGGGUGGAAAGCUUUUUGUGGUUUUGGAUGGACUCGCGGCCUAUCAGCUUGUUGGUGAGGUAAUGGCUCACCAAGGCGACGACGGGUAGCCGGCCUGAGAGGGUGACCGGCCACACUGGGACUGAGACACGGCCCAGACUCCUACGGGAGGCAGCAGUGGGGAAUAUUGCACAAUGGGCGAAAGCCUGAUGCAGCGACGCCGCGUGAGGGAUGACGGCCUUCGGGUUGUAAACCUCUUUCAGUAGGGAAGAAGCGAAAGUGACGGUACCUGCAGAAGAAGCGCCGGCUAACUACGUGCCAGCAGCCGCGGUAAUACGUAGGGCGCAAGCGUUAUCCGGAAUUAUUGGGCGUAAAGAGCUCGUAGNCGGUUUGUCGCGUCUGCCGUGAAAGUCCGGGGCUCNACUCCGGAUCUGCGGU
This 548-nucleotide ribosomal RNA is filed under the name bacterium EA10-S-16. RNAcentral's name for it is "bacterial SSU rRNA". It matches the Rfam family "Bacterial small subunit ribosomal RNA", at positions 65 to 627 of the family's 1533-position model. The record is from RNAcentral.